AGACUCGCUAGGUUUGCCAAACCAAUUCCCCAUAGGGGUCCUUAGAGACCAAUCCUCUUCCCUCUUUCACUCUCUUUCUCUUUCUCUCUCUCUUACUUUUUCUUCACUUUCCUUAUUCCCUCUUUCAAUGGCUUCCUCAUCUUCCAGAACAAAGUCAAGUGGUCCCGUUCUACGCUCUCUCUCACCCUCCACCAGAUUCUGUUCCUACACCACAUCCAAAACCCCUUUCUCUUCGCCUUCUUCAGCCUUUGCUUCCUCCACAGCCUCCACCUUCUCCUCUCCCUCCUCCACCUUCUUCACCAACACUCGUCACCAAAACUCCCACUCAAACCACCACACUCAUCACCGUGCCGCUUCCCCCACACGUGUCAAUCUAUACUCACCCACGCCUCCUUCCUCUUCCGUCCGCUUCUCGAUCGACCCCCGUUCCAUCUCCCCCAACCGCUCCAUCUCCAACCAGAUCAUCACCAAGAACAGCCGUCCCAUCUCUGGCCACAAGAAAACCUGCAUGUGUUCCCCUACUACACACCCCGGCUCCUUCCGAUGCAGCCUACACAAGAACACUGCCAGCAACAACCACCACGCGGAUUCCUACCCCUCCAAUCGCCUCAAUAUGCGCAGAUCCGCGAUGAAGAACUCGCUUGUGAGGAUCGGAGGCGUCGAGGGUGAGUGGGUGAAACGUGCCCUAACCGCGCUUAUUCGGCCCAGUUCUCAUCAGCAAAGGAGGAGAGCGGCCUUCGAGCCCAGGCCCAGCCGUCUCUCUGUCAUGUCCAAGGCCCAGGAUCUUUGAUUUUUUUUUUCAAUUUAAUUUUACAGGUUCGUUCUCCAUUUUACUGCUAUUGCGGUGGUUUACCUACCCCUAGCGCCCUGAUCUGCCGCCAGAGUUCGAUUCCGGCGAAGCGGUUGGGAGGUAGCGGCGAGUCCUCUCCGGCGAGUUUUGAUUUCGUCGUCUGGAGCAGCAGAUUGGUGAAUUGUCAACUUGGCGCAUUUCCCCAUAGAUCUAUGACACUGGACCCACACACACAAUUGCUAUUUGUUCGUUAAUUUUCCGUCAAUGGCCGCCGUUUCCAUUUGGCUCCUGGGUGGUUCCACCGUUAGGAACCUUUCCGUUACCCGUGAUGCCGUUGACCGUCUGUUACGUUGGUCCAGUUGCUUUACGUGCUGUGUCAGGUUGGUUGUGUAGCUGGACUUUGGUAUUGGGGAAUAUUUGAAUUCUUGUGUCCCAAGUUGGCGUUCAUACAUUUAGAAGAAGAGGCUGAAGUUUUUGACAAAAGUAUCUAGAAACAAACCCUAGCACAAAGGAGGACCAAUUCUAUGAAUUCGGUAACAGGACAAGGAGAAGAACAUUAAAAAAAAGAUAAAAGUUAUACUAAAAAUCCUAUUAUUAUAUUAUAAUUAUAAUAUGAAUAGUGUGUAGAAUGAAACACGCUCUGGUGGGGAUGAAAUCUGAAAUCGGACAAAAAUAAGAAAAAUAAAUAUAAAAACGAAUAAAGGAAUAUUUUUGAUGAAGUUUUAGGUAAAAAUCUAAAUAUAAAAAAUAAAGAAAACUGGAAGUUGGUAACUUUUAUUAAAUUUAAGAAGGUUUGGUCAGGAAAGUUGAAGAAGGUGGAACUUGUUUAUGAAGCAGUGCCAGCUGGCCAUGUGGGGUGCUUUUUAAUUCGUCUCCAGCUUUCACAAUAAUAAUAAUAAUAAUGCACUAUAAUUUUGGCAUUACUUUUAAAUCAAUUUUGAAAACGGCUUUUAAUUAACAAUCAUUGAUAUUAUAUCGAGGUACUCAGUAAAAAAAUUUUGAACCACUCAAUUAAAAAAUGACACUGUAAUAUUGGCGAAUAUUCUUUAUUAUUUUCAAGCAUAUAUUAUUAGAAAAUAUUUAUUGAUGGUUGACUGAAAAAACUAAAAGUUAUUUAGUGGCAGUGACGUUGUAAUGUGGUCAUUCUGGCCAUCUGGAAUGGUAAUGUUAAUUUUAUAAGAAGGAAGGGCACCGAAGUUGCUUACACCUCACGCGUUAUGGUUAUAGAUUAGAUCACACGUUCAUUCAUGCUUACUUUAGUUUUAAGGAAAUAAAUAAAUGGAACGAAAAUAGUGGAUAAAUAAUUAAUGUUUAAUUAUUCAGUAAAGUAAAAUCUGUGGA
Vigna radiata var. radiata (mung bean) is the source of this 2131-nucleotide RNA transcript. It is a transcript of the gene named putative protein TPRXL, with no coding region annotated. Lineage: Eukaryota; Viridiplantae; Streptophyta; Magnoliopsida; Fabales; Fabaceae. The record is from RefSeq and is a predicted model, not a curated record. The transcript has 3 exons.